RNAcentral lists this transfer RNA (87 nucleotides) under Bacteroidota bacterium. Its description in RNAcentral is "Bacteroidetes bacterium tRNA-Ser". It matches the Rfam family "tRNA". Rfam says of the family: Transfer RNA (tRNA) molecules are approximately 80 nucleotides in length. Their secondary structure includes four short double-helical elements and three loops (D, anti-codon, and T loops). Further hydrogen bonds mediate the characteristic L-shaped molecular structure. tRNAs have two regions of fundamental functional importance: the anti-codon, which is responsible for specific mRNA codon recognition, and the 3' end, to which the tRNAs corresponding amino acid is attached (by aminoacyl-tRNA synthetases). tRNAs cope with the degeneracy of the genetic code in two manners: having more than one tRNA (with a specific anti-codon) for a particular amino acid; and 'wobble' base-pairing, i.e. permitting non-standard base-pairing at the 3rd anti-codon position. Lineage: Bacteria; Pseudomonadati; Bacteroidota. The record is from RNAcentral.
GGAGAGGUGGCCGAGUGGCUGAAGGCGCACGCUUGGAAAGCGUGUUUACGAGAGAUUGUAACGCGGGUUCGAAUCCCGCUCUCUCCG